This 531-nucleotide ribosomal RNA is filed under the name uncultured bacterium. RNAcentral's name for it is "bacterial SSU rRNA". It matches the Rfam family "Bacterial small subunit ribosomal RNA", at positions 777 to 1308 of the family's 1533-position model. The record is from RNAcentral.
AAUAGAUACCCGGGUAGUCCACGCCGUAAACGAUGAGUGCUAAGUGUUAGAGGGUUUCCGCCCUUUAGUGCUGAAGUUAACGCAUUAAGCACUCCGCCUGGGGAGUACGGCCGCAAGGCUGAAACUCAAAGGAAUUGACGGGGGCCCGCACAAGCGGUGGAGCAUGUGGUUUAAUUCGAAGCAACGCGAAGAACCUUACCAGGUCUUGACAUCCUCUGACAACCCUAGAGAUAGGGCUUCUCCUUCGGGAGCAAAGUGACAGGUGGUGCAUGGUUGUCGUCAGCUCGUGCCGUGAGAUGUUGGGUUAAGUCCCGCAACGAGCGCAACCCUUGAUCUUAGUUGCCAUCAUUAAGUUGGGCACUCUAAGGUGACUGCCGGUGACAAACCGGAGGAAGGUGGGGAUGACGUCAAAUCAUCAUGCCCCUUAUGACCUGGGCUACACACGUGCUACAAUGGACGGUACAAAGAGCUGCAAGACCGCGAGGUGGAGCUAAUCUCAUAAAACCGUUCUCAGUUCGGAUUGUAGGCUGC